CAGCAGCCGCGGGAAUACAGAGGGUGCGAGCGUUAAUCGGAUUUACUGGGCGUAAAGCGUGCGUAGGCGGCUUUUUAAGUCGGAUGUGAAAUCCCUGAGCUUAACUUAGGAAUUGCAUUCGAUACUGGGAAGCUAGAGUAUGGGAGAGGAUGGUAGAAUUCCAGGUGUAGCGGUGAAAUGCGUAGAGAUCUGGAGGAAUACCGAUGGCGAAGGCAGCCAUCUGGCCUAAUACUGACGCUGAGGUACGAAAGCAUGGGGAGCAAACAGGAUUAGAUACCCGAGUAGUCCCUGUCUCUUAUAC
This 301-nucleotide ribosomal RNA is filed under the name uncultured bacterium. Its description in RNAcentral is "partial 16S ribosomal RNA". It matches the Rfam family "Bacterial small subunit ribosomal RNA", at positions 509 to 807 of the family's 1533-position model. The record is from RNAcentral.